ACUCCUCCUAGAGAUUUAUUCAGAUCAACACCAAAUUUGGUAUGCCUAAUCUAAAGGCCUUUGCGAUGUUAAAUUGCGAAGAUCUUGAGUUUUUCGUUGAAGGGCGUGUCCGUGGCGGCCUGACGAAUUUUCGAUGAUUCGCCAUGAAAAAAAUGAAGUUGCUAUAACUCAGACAUACAAUGUCCAAUCUGCCCACAAACUUCACAUGUUUGAUAAGACUCCUGACCUGAACAGAUUGAUAUGCCCAUAUUCAGUUAUAGUCAUAGCGCCACCUACUGGCAACAGGAAGUGACAUAUUUUACACUGUAACAAACUACCCCGAGAAAUUUUAUGACAUAAAUGUUUUUUUUUCAGUCACUCUAUUCUAAAGGCCUGUGCGAUGUUAAAUUGUGAAGAUCUUGAGUUUUCGUUAAAGGGCGUGUCCAUGGCGCCGUCACAAAGUUCGAUGUCUCGCCAUGGGAAUAAAAGUUAUUGUAACUCAGGCAUAAAAUGUCCGAUCUUGCCCAAACUUCACAUGUUCGAUAAGAGUCCUGGCCUGAACAAAUCUGAAGGCCAAUAUUCCAUCGGGUGUGUGGCAAAAAGACCACAAAUAAAAUGAAAACAUAUGUUCCAUCAAAAUUACUUUACAUGGAUGUCAGUGCUUUUAUCCAUAAAUGGCAUUUUCCAGCACCACAUCCAACAUAUGGCAUGCUUUUAGAUCUUCUUGUCUCAUUUUCAUUCCUGAUUGAUUUACAUAUCCAUAAAUAAAGGCUCGCUGAAUUCAGUGAUUGCACUAUUACAAAUCAUUUUAUUGUGGUUUGUGUGUUAAUUUCUUAAUCGCCGGUUCUCAGUGGAUUAUGGACUGAAACGCAGACAAGGGACAGAUGAUAAAAGAUGGCAGGGAGCUGUCUAAACACACCAGUCCCUGUCAGUGCAGAUGGAGGCUGAAUGGCAGACUGAAAGAGGAAAAGGAUUUUCUUGGCAUUAAAAUCUUUCUUUUCUUGGCAGAGAGCUCUCUUUGCCGGUUGUGAAGGUCCAGGGGCAGGAAAUUGGCUUCUCAGACUCACAGAUGGUCUAAGGCUCGGUCUACAUCCAUACGCGCGCACGCACACAAGCGCACACACACACACACACACACACACACACACACACACACACACACACACACACACACACACACAAACAAACCUUGAGUUUUUGGUACACCGUUGAAGUUCUCCCCUCCUUUUUCUCUCCUCUCAUUUGCCAGUAAAUGUUUGUCAGCUAAUCUUGUCAUCGAGUGGGUAUUACACAAGUGUGUCUGUCAAAAUUUAUGCUUGUACUGUCACGUAAGCCAAACUCACACCACAAAAUUUUGACCUCUUGAGUAUGUCUUUGAAAAAGUGUUGACGCUGUCACUGCUUUCUGCAUGUGAACAUAUGGAGAGGGAGCAGAGUAUGAAUAUGCACACACAUGCACACGGUGAGCCAUUGAAGGCCUUGUCUCAGAUUUUAGAUGACACCAUGGCACUACUGUAUGUUGGCAGGCAGAUUAUUUCUGCACACCUGUACUAUCUUUAUUAAUACUUUUACUCAAUAACAUAUCUAAGAAAAAAAUUUUAUGGUACAAAGUGUAUGUAUUUAUGGUAAUUGUCACGCAAAUCUGUCCUUAAUCUUAUUAAGAAUAGCUUAUGAGGCGAGUCAUUUUGAUGAGUCAGAGAUGAAUGACCACAACUAUGGUCAUUGAUUUUUGAGAGAAAGCACCUCUACAGUCACACAUGUAAUGAUAGAGACAAUCUUGACUUGAGUGCUAUUACAGUUGGUAAUCGGUCUAUAUUUUCAAGUGUCAACUAUUAAAAAAAGCUUACACUAAUUUCGGGUUUCAGAAUAUUGGUCUCUUGACACGUGCUGUGCUCUAGAUUCUUACAUAAUUGAGCAAAUUAGAAUUUUUUAAUUAAACAAUUUAGGAAGUUUAUGUAACUAACAUAGUUUAAUGAGAAAACCUGUUUUGUCUCUUGAUUUCAUCAUAUCUGCAUCUAAAAUUGGAUACUUUGUACUACAUUUGAUGUCAAACGACCUUUGUAGGUGUUAAGCUAUAUAAUAACCCAACACAACAACAAGAAAAGCUUGUAAAGUUAGUAAAGCUAAUAGGCUCAGUAGCUUCUGCAGCAUGAACACAAGCAUGCAGUCUGCCAUUGUUGUUGUUGCUGCUGUUAUGUGACGUAUCAGUGUCUGACUAGGGUCGAGACAUGGGGUGAUGACAUCAUCGUUUCACAAAAUAUACGGAUUGGCUGUACACAAAAUCACAAAGUUGUAGUUUUUAGAUUUAUCCUCUCUGGAACCCGGUUUCAAAACAUAGAGGUUUCGGGCUCCCAGAACUGGACGAAAUGCCGAUAUGAUAAAAAAAUUUGCACAGCUAUACCUUGUUUUGUUCCCCUCAUGUUUCUGGUUGUGGCUAGAAGGGAUACAGCUAAACCCGGAAGCUAACAAUAAAUAAAGUUUUUUACCUAUUAGAAAACUGUGUUUUAGUAAUAUUUACACAUACCCCAACCCUAAACCUACCCCUUACAAUAAUGCAAAAACAGUAAUUAAGGUUGUACAGUGCCCAAUAAAUGAAUCUGUAUACUAUCUAGUCUUAAACUGUGUUUCCCUGCUGCUCUGUUCCCUUGUUUGUUGCCAUAUUGGACCACACCCAUCAGUUUGUUAUUUCCCACGGUUACUCAAAAGUUCAUUGGUUCAGCUCUGUAUAGCCUUAAUGUUUCUCUUGUGCUUUGUAAGUCGUUUGUCUUACUUUGUCUUACUUUUAUUUAAAAACCUUUAAAAAUUGUAUUUACAAUUUUUGACAGGCAGUAUAUGCAGUAUGUAAUCCCAUUAUCAUAGUAAUAAAUACAUUCAAUUCAAAAGAAUGGAAUUAAAUCAAAUGGAGCCAUACAGAUAGAGAAAGAAAUUGCAAAUGAUCAAGAUGAAUAGAACAAGUAAGUUGGAGACAGGGGCAGAGAAACUGAAUUGCAAAGUCAGCAUUUACCUGACUGUCUCUCCCUCUUUGUCUCUCUUCUCUCACACACAUUCAUGCUCAACAUUAUAGUGACGCAUCAGUGUGUAUGCAGGUCAGACCCCAGGUGUAAAUGUUCUCAUUCUAGCUCUUGUGUAUGCGCACUUGUGUUUCCCCUCGUGGCCGGUAGAAGAGGGGAAAACGGAAUGAUCUAUUUAUUUACAGCAUGAGGCAGCAGCACUAUUUAUGAUCCUUAAACUAUAAGCUUUCGGGAGACUCGUAAAAGAGAAGUGUGUGUGAGUGGGGCUUGACUCUUGUAAGGCAAGACUUGGGGACAGGAAUAUUUAUUUAUUUGUUUAUGUUUAGAGGGAAAGGGGCAUUGUAGGAAUUCAGUAAUUCAGGGUGUGCUUUAUGAUCUCUUCAAGACUCUCCAGGUCUUCAGGGUCUAGAGGUUUCUGGCUUGUAGGCCUAUAUCAAUUUUAUUUUAAGACUUGUCUGUUUAUCCCUGCUUUGAUGGAAAGCAAAUGAUGUCGAGAUCUCCUGAUCUCCAACACUUAUCUCCAGGGCCUUUAGCUCUGCUGCUGUGUGUAUGGUUUAUCAAUACCAUACAAUUUUAGCUGUGAAAUAUUAUGAGUCUCAUCAAGGACGAAUCUGUCUCCUAGGAAACAUGUGCCUUGCAAACACACACAAACUUGUACAUUCAACCACACUGUUCACACCUUACAUAAACAUGCUGUUAUAGGUCUGAAUGAAUUAGAUGGUUAUGCUGUUUUACAUACUGCAUUACUAUAUCAUGGUAUUUCUCCAAGACAGAAUACUAUUAAUG
Cyprinus carpio carpio is the source of this 3775-nucleotide long non-coding RNA. The record is from Ensembl. Lineage: Eukaryota; Metazoa; Chordata; Actinopteri; Cypriniformes; Cyprinidae.